This 28-nucleotide non-coding RNA is filed under the name Mus musculus (house mouse). The record is from RNAcentral. RNAcentral also lists the same sequence under 1 other name. Lineage: Eukaryota; Metazoa; Chordata; Mammalia; Rodentia; Muridae.
UGACACUUCCGAGAAGACAGGGUUCAGC